This is a long non-coding RNA of Calypte anna (Anna's hummingbird), 1052 nucleotides long. RefSeq lists it as uncharacterized. The record is from RefSeq and is a predicted model, not a curated record. The transcript is spliced from 4 exons. Lineage: Eukaryota; Metazoa; Chordata; Aves; Apodiformes; Trochilidae.
CCCCCGGAGGCUCAGCCCCUGUCCCGGAGCUCCCCCACCGGCGAGGCAGGCGGCAGGAGAAGAGGCUGUGCCUGAGGGACACCCAGGAGGGAUCAUCAGCCAGGUGUCUGUGCUGUGAGUGGUGCCCCUGUCAAGUCAGUGAGAGCUGGCUACAUGCAGACUGUUUGUCAGAGGCUGCUGCCCAUGCCUGGACCUUCUUACAAGGUUUGAUGCAAAAUUAUUUCUCUGGGACAUUUUGGAGAGGCCAGAAAAAGACAGGACACCUACACAUGUCAAUGUCCUCCAUGCUCUUUGUGAUGUAUCUGCCAACUUCAGAUGGUUUUAGUUUCUUCUCCCGGAUCCACCUUUGCUGCCUGAGCCUCCGCUCUCGCACCCGGGCGUAAAUCGGCUCCUGCUGCUGCCAGAACUCCCUGCGCUUCUCCAGAGAAGCUUCAGCAUCUUUCAGGGCAUUCUCAGUGUCUCCAAGCUUCAGGUAACAGUUUGAGCGGGCAGCCAGGCAGUCCCUGUCUCCUUCUCUCAGCUGCAGUGCCUGGAACAGAGGAGAUGUGGAAGUCACCAGUGCUGGGCCCAGCACCACACAUCCAUGUGAGCACAAGUUUGAUGCAACCUCCUGUGUCCCAGCAUGGAUCUUGAUGAUUGAUGAGGUUAAAAACAAAUUUUACUUUCUCUUUACACAUUCUCUUGAUGUUCACAUUUCUCUGCAGCUCUCCCAUCUUUCUGCACUUCCAGGAGCAUCCCCAGCACCCACCAAUUCCUCUCACUGCCCCACCUUGGCCACCUCCUUUCAUGCUGUGACCUCCGAGCGCCCUUGGGGACGUUUCCCUUCGUGCCACCACCUCGGCGGGCUACGACUCCUCACGCUGCCACCUCCUCUUACCUGGGUCCCACAUUUCUCCACGUGUCCCUCCUCUUCGUGCCGCCACCUCUGCCAACCCCUCCCGUGUGCCACCGCCACCCACAUCCCAUCGCGACCGCCACCUCCCAGUGCCACCCCGGACCCCUCACGUUGUUGUAGCAGAUCAGGGCUUUGUCGUACUCGCCCAGCCGGCACA